GAUGAACGCUGGCGGCGUGCCUAAUACAUGCAAGUCGAGCGAACAGACGAGGAGCUUGCUCCUCUGACGUUAGCGGCGGACGGGUGAGUAACACGUGGAUAACCUACCUAUAAUACUGGGAUAACUUCGGGAAACCGGAGCUAAUACCGGAUAAUAUAUUGAACCGCAUGGUUCAAUAGUGAAAGACGGUUUUGCUGUCACUUAUAGAUGGAUCCGCGCCGCAUUAGCUAGUUGGUAAGGUAACGGCUUACCAAGGAAACGAUGGGUAGCCGACCUGAGAGGGUGAUCGGCCACACUGGAACGGAGACACGGUCCAGACUCCUACGGGAGGCAGCAGUAGGGAAUCUUCCGCAAGGGGCGAAAGCCUGACGGAGCAACGCCGCGUGAGUGAUGAAGGUCUUCGGAUCGUAAAACUCUGUUAUUAGGGAAGAACAAAUGUGUAAGUAACUAUGCACGUCUUGACGGUACCUAAUCAGAAAGCCACGGCUAACUACGUG
This 497-nucleotide ribosomal RNA is filed under the name uncultured bacterium. RNAcentral's name for it is "partial 16S ribosomal RNA". It matches the Rfam family "Bacterial small subunit ribosomal RNA", at positions 28 to 507 of the family's 1533-position model. The record is from RNAcentral.